This 430-nucleotide ribosomal RNA is filed under the name uncultured archaeon. RNAcentral describes it as "bacterial SSU rRNA". It matches the Rfam family "Archaeal small subunit ribosomal RNA", at positions 474 to 903 of the family's 1478-position model. The record is from RNAcentral.
UACCUGCAGCUCGAGUGGUGAUCGUUAUUAUUGGGCCUAAAACGUCCGUAGCCGGUCUUAUAAAUGCCUGGGUAAAUCGUAUGGCUUAACCAUACGAAUUCCGGGUAGACUGUUUGACUUGAGACCGGGAGAAGCUAGAGGUACUCCUUGGGUAGAGGUGAAAUUCUGUAAUCCUAGGGGGACCACCUGUGGCGAAGGCGUCUAGCUAGAACGGGUCUGACGGUGAGGGACGAAGCCCUGGGGCGCAAACGGGAUUAGAUACCCCGGUAGUCCAGGGUGUAAACGCUGCUUGCUUGAUGUUAGUCUGGCUCCGAGCCAGAUUAGUGUCGGAGAGAAGUUGUAAGCAAGCUGCCUGGGAAGUACGGCCGCAAGACUGAAAACUUAAAGGAAUUGGGUGGGGGAGCACAGCAACGGGUGGAGCGUGCGGUUU